This 253-nucleotide ribosomal RNA is filed under the name uncultured bacterium. Its description in RNAcentral is "partial 16S ribosomal RNA". It matches the Rfam family "Bacterial small subunit ribosomal RNA", at positions 524 to 776 of the family's 1533-position model. The record is from RNAcentral.
UACGAAGGGGGCUAGCGUUGCUCGGAAUCACUGGGCGUAAAGCGCACGUAGGCGGAUUGUUAAGUCAGGGGUGAAAUCCUGGAGCUCAACUCCAGAACUGCCUUUGAUACUGGCGAUCUCGAGUCCGGGAGAGGUGAGUGGAACUGCGAGUGUAGAGGUGAAAUUCGUAGAUAUUCGCAAGAACACCAGUGGCGAAGGCGGCUCACUGGCCCGGUACUGACGCUGAGGUGCGAAAGCGUGGGGAGCAAACGGG